RNAcentral lists this ribosomal RNA (490 nucleotides) under uncultured bacterium. Its description in RNAcentral is "partial 16S ribosomal RNA". It matches the Rfam family "Bacterial small subunit ribosomal RNA", at positions 28 to 507 of the family's 1533-position model. The record is from RNAcentral.
GAUGAACGCUAGCUACAGGCUUAACACAUGCAAGUCGCAGGGUAACAUGAGGAAAGCUUGCUUUCCUUGAUGACGACUGGCGCACGGGUGAGUAACGCGUAUCCAACCUUCCCAUAACUACGGGAUAACCCGUUGAAAGACGGCCUAAUACCGUAUGAUAUCGUUUGCUGACAUCAAAUAACGAUUAAAGGUUUAGCGGUUAUGGAUGGGGAUGCGUCUGAUUAGCUUGUUGGCGGGGUAACGGCCCACCAAGGCGACGAUCAGUAGGGGUUCUGAGAGGAAGGUCCCCCACAUUGGAACUGAGACACGGUCCAAACUCCUACGGGAGGCAGCAGUGAGGAAUAUUGGUCAAUGGGCGAGAGCCUGAACCAGCCAAGUAGCGUGCAGGACGACAGCCCUAUGGGUUGUAAACUGCUUUUAUGUGGGGAUAAAGUGCGUGACGUGUCAUGCAUUGCAGGUACCACAUGAAUAAGGACCGGCUAAUUCCGUG